Molecule: ribosomal RNA, 253 nt
Filed under: uncultured bacterium
Lineage: Bacteria
Description: partial 16S ribosomal RNA
Rfam family: Bacterial small subunit ribosomal RNA
Source: RNAcentral
UACGUAGGUGGCAAGCGUUGUCCGGAUUUAUUGGGUUUAAAGGGUGCGUAGGCGGCCCUGUAAGUCAGUGCUGAAAUAUCCCAGCUUAACUGGGAGGGUGGCAUUGAUACUGCGGGGCUAGAGUACAGAUGAGGUAGGCGGAAUUGACGGUGUAGCGGUGAAAUGCUUAGAUAUCGUCAAGAACACCUAUAGCGAAGGCAGCUUACUAGGCUGUAACUGACGCUGAGGCACGAAAGUGUGGGGAGCGAACAGG